AAGGAUCAUUAAAGUGCCAGCGGGACACCCCGCUAAAGGCCCCACACUUGUCUACCAAACUACGUUGCCUCGGCGGGACCGUCCCCUAGGGGACCGCCGGGGGGGACUUACCUCCCCCCUGGUCAGCGCCCGCCGGAGGACAAAUAACCAAACCUUUGUAACAGUGAGUUGUCUGAGCGAUUAUAUAAAUGAAUCAAAACUUUCAACAAUGGAUCUCUUGGUUCCG
Molecule: unclassified non-coding RNA, 226 nt
Filed under: uncultured fungus
Lineage: Eukaryota; Fungi
Description: partial contains 18S rRNA, ITS1, 5.8S rRNA, ITS2 and 28S rRNA
Source: RNAcentral